AUGAACGCUGGCGGCGUGCCUCAUACAUGCAAGUCGCGCGCACAGACGAGGAGCUUGCUCCUCUGACGUUAGCGGCGGACGGGUGAGUAACACGUGGAUAACCUACCUAUAAGACUGGGAUAACUUCGGGAAACCGGAGCUAAUACCGGAUAAUAUAUUGAACCGCCUGGUUCAAUAGUGAAAGACGGUUUUGCUGUCACUUAUAGAUGGAUCCGCGCCGCAUUAGCUAGUUGGUAAGGUAACGGCUUACCAAGGCAACGAUGCGUAGCCGACCUGAGAGGGUGAUCGGCCACACUGGAACUGAGACACGGUCCAGACUCCUACGGGAGGCAGCAGUAGGGAAUCUUCCGCAAUGGGCGAAAGCCUGACGGAGCAACGCCGCGUGAGUGAUGAAGGUCUUCGGAUCGUAAAACUCUGUUAUUAGGGAAGAACAAAUGUGUAAGUAACUAUGCACGUCUUGACGGUACCUAAUCAGAAAGCCACGGCUAACUACGUG
This 496-nucleotide ribosomal RNA is filed under the name uncultured bacterium. Its description in RNAcentral is "partial 16S ribosomal RNA". It matches the Rfam family "Bacterial small subunit ribosomal RNA", at positions 29 to 507 of the family's 1533-position model. The record is from RNAcentral.